GUUUAUAUAGUUUAUAAAAACCUUACAUUUUCAAUGUAAAAAUAAAGUCCCCUUUUAUAAAUU
This 63-nucleotide transfer RNA is filed under the name Trypetoptera punctulata. RNAcentral describes it as "tRNA-Glu". It matches the Rfam family "tRNA". Rfam says of the family: Transfer RNA (tRNA) molecules are approximately 80 nucleotides in length. Their secondary structure includes four short double-helical elements and three loops (D, anti-codon, and T loops). The record is from RNAcentral. Lineage: Eukaryota; Metazoa; Arthropoda; Insecta; Diptera; Sciomyzidae.